AUGUCAGCCCCCAAGUCAAGCUCAUUCUCUGCAAAAUUGGGGGUGACCUCAUGUCCAGACCACUUGUCCACUAGUUCUGGAGGGUCGGCGGGGACCUGGGCUGAGUCGGGGCAUCAGAGAAGGGCAGGGCUGGUUUUUGUCCUGAGUCCCGGGGCUGUGAGCCAAAGCACUCAGUACUUCGGCGCGGGCACCCGGCUGUUGGUGUUAGGUGAGCUGGGACGACCCCGGAGACCCGAGGGAUGGGCGGCGGGUUUUUGCGCGGGGCUGGGGGGCCGUGACUCAGAGACGCAGUACUUCGGGCCGGGCACGCGGCUCCUGGUGCUAGACGAUCUGAGCCGGGUGCACCCGCCCAAGGUGGCUGUGUUCGAACCCUCGGAAGCAGAGAUCGACCGGACCCAGAAGGCCACGCUCGUGUGCCUGGCCACGGGCUUCUACCCCGACCACGUGGAGCUGACCUGGUGGGUGAACAGGAAGCAGGUCACCACUGGGGUCAGCACGGACCCUGAGCCCUACAAGGAGGACCCCACGCGGGAGGACUCCAGAUACUGUCUGAGCAGCCGGCUGAGAGUGACCGCCGCCUUCUGGCACAACCCCCGCAACCACUUCCGCUGCCAAGUCCAGUUCCACGGGCUCACGGACGAGGACGAGUGGAAGCCGGACAGGGCCAAGCCCGUCACCCAGAACAUCAGCGCCGAGGCCUGGGGCAGAGCAGACUGUGGUGUCACCUCCGCGUCUUAUCAGCAAGGCGUCCUGUCUGCCACCCUCCUCUAUGAGAUCCUGCUGGGGAAGGCCACCCUGUACGCUGUGCUGGUCAGCGCCCUGGUGCUGAUGGCCAUGGUCAAGAGAAAAGAUUCCUGAAGCCAGCUUAGAAGUGGAGCCAGGAGCUUCCAGCCUGUUGCUGCCCUGAUGUGAGUUCUGCUUUUCCCAUUCCUACCCAGCGCUUCUGAAGAGCUGCUCUCAUCUCUGGACUCAGCCCAGCGUCCACUCCCAUGUGGGGGUGCCCCAGACUCUCAGGACCAGGAUCUCCCUAACCCAGGGGAGACCCUAGGGGGACUGAACUUGCUGAACCAAUAAAAAUGGCCUGUUGUGUUUUCA
Molecule: non-coding RNA, 1095 nt
Organism: Dama dama (fallow deer)
Lineage: Eukaryota; Metazoa; Chordata; Mammalia; Artiodactyla; Cervidae
Source: the annotation of a RefSeq genome assembly